GCGCAGGUUGCAGAGUCUGACGGAGCACGCCGCGUGAGUGAUGAAGGCUUUCGGGUCGUAAAACUCUGUUGUUAGGGAAGAACAAGUGCUAGUUGAAUAAGCUGGCACCUUGACGGUACCUAACCAGAAAGCCACGGCUAACUACGUGCCAGCAGCCGCGGUAAUACGUAGGUGGCAAGCGUUAUCCGGAAUUAUUGGGCGUAAAGCGCGCGCAGGUGGUUUCUUAAGUCUGAUGUGAAAGCCCACGGCUCAACCGUGGAGGGUCAUUGGAAACUGGGAGACUUGAGUGCAGAAGAGGAAAGUGGAAUUCCAUGUGUAGCGGUGAAAUGCGUAGAGAUAUGGAGGAACACCAGUGGCGAAGGCGACUUUCUGGUCUGUAACUGACACUGAGGCGCGAAAGCGUGGGGAGCAAACAGGAUUAGAUACCCCCGUAGUCCC
This 438-nucleotide ribosomal RNA is filed under the name Bacillus thuringiensis. RNAcentral's name for it is "bacterial SSU rRNA". It matches the Rfam family "Bacterial small subunit ribosomal RNA", at positions 368 to 797 of the family's 1533-position model. Lineage: Bacteria; Bacillati; Bacillota; Bacilli; Caryophanales; Bacillaceae. The record is from RNAcentral.